GACGAACGCUGGCGGCGUGCUUAACACAUGCAAGUCGAACGGAAAGGCCCUGCUUUUGUUGGGUGCUCGAGUGGCGAACGGGUGGGUAACACGUGAGUAACCUGCCCUUGACUCUGGGAUAACUUCAGGAAACUGGGGCUAAUACCGGAUAGGAGCUCCUGCUGCAUGGUGGGGGUUGGUAAGUUUCGGCGGUUGGGGAGGGACUCGCGGCUUAUCAGCGUGUUGGUGGGGUUGUGGCGUACCAAGGCUUUGACGGGUAGCCGGCCUGAGAGGGUGACCGGCCACAUUGGGACUGAGAUAGGGCCCAGACGCCUACGGGAGGCAGCAGUGGGGGAUAGUGCGCUAUGGGGGGAAGCCUGAUGCAGCAACGCCGCGUGCGGGAUGACGGCCUUCGGGUUGUAAACCGCUUUCGCCUGUGAUGAAGGGUGAGUGACGGUAAUGGGUAAAGAAGCACCGGCUAACUACGUG
Molecule: ribosomal RNA, 468 nt
Filed under: uncultured bacterium
Lineage: Bacteria
Description: partial 16S ribosomal RNA
Rfam family: Bacterial small subunit ribosomal RNA
Source: RNAcentral